UACAGAGGUCUCAAGCGUUGUUCGGAUUCAUUGGGCGUAAAGGGUGCGUAGGUGGCGGGGUAAGUCAGGUGUGAAAUCUCGGAGCUCAACUCCGAAACUGCACUUGAUACUGCCUUGCUCGAGUACUGGAGAGGAGAUUGGAAUUUACGGUGUAGCAGUGAAAUGCGUAGAUAUCGUAAGGAAGACCAGUGGCGAAGGCGAAUCUCUGGACAGUUACUGACACUGAGGCACGAAGGCCAGGGGAGCAAACAGGAUUAGAAACCCCCGUAGUCC
This 273-nucleotide ribosomal RNA is filed under the name uncultured bacterium. Its description in RNAcentral is "partial 16S ribosomal RNA". It matches the Rfam family "Bacterial small subunit ribosomal RNA", at positions 524 to 796 of the family's 1533-position model. The record is from RNAcentral.